RNAcentral lists this microRNA precursor (101 nucleotides) under Podarcis lilfordi (Lilford's wall lizard). Lineage: Eukaryota; Metazoa; Chordata; Lepidosauria; Squamata; Lacertidae. The record is from RNAcentral.
CCCGCUUUUUAAAUUAAGUUGUGGGUUGUUAGAAUGUAUAGUCUUUCUCCCCACAAAGACUAUACAUUCUAACAACCCACAACUUAAUUUUAAAAGCGGGU